AGUCCUUCGGGGACGAUAAAAUUGGAACGAUGCAGAAUAGAUUAGCAUGCCCCUGCACAAGGAUGACACGCACAAAUCGAGAAAUGGUCUAAAUUUUU
Juglans microcarpa x Juglans regia is the source of this 98-nucleotide small nuclear RNA. NCBI's taxonomy places the organism in Eukaryota, Viridiplantae, Streptophyta, Magnoliopsida, Fagales, Juglandaceae. The record is from RefSeq and is a predicted model, not a curated record.